UACGUAGGGUCCGAGCGUUGUCCGGAAUUAUUGGGCGUAAAGGGCGCGUAGGCGGCCUGAUAAGUAGGGGGUGAAAUCCUACGGCUUAACCGCAGGGCUGCCUUCUAAACUGUCGAGCUUGAGCACGGUAGAGGCAGAUGGAAUUCCCGGUGUAGCGGUGGAAUGCGUAGAGAUCGGGAGGAAGGCCGGUGGCGAAGGCGGCGCUCUGGAACAUUUCUGACGCUGAGGCUCGAAAGCGUGGGGAGCAAACAGG
This 253-nucleotide ribosomal RNA is filed under the name uncultured bacterium. Its description in RNAcentral is "partial 16S ribosomal RNA". It matches the Rfam family "Bacterial small subunit ribosomal RNA", at positions 524 to 776 of the family's 1533-position model. The record is from RNAcentral.